UCUCUGCCCCUCCCCCACCCAUGCUCUGUGUGUCUCUCUCUCAAAAAUUAAAAUUAAACAUUAAAGAAAAAUUAAAACCUUGUGCCAUUUUUUGUAGACACACAGCAUGUAAUACACAAAUGGAAUCACUCUUUAAGCUCUUUUCAUCAGACACGACACUACAUUAUCUUUUUAAAUUCCUGUUUCUCUACUGCUAUGAAGUUUUAUACAGUCAUGAUGGUCAUUUUUAUUCUGACCUUGAGUUCACUAGGAGGCCAAGAAUAAAGGCCAGAAAAAUAUCACAUGGGAAAGGUGGACCAUCUAAACAACAUGAUAUAUGAUGUUUCUUCACAUAACUGGAGGAUGUAAAUAAAGGCUAAUCUUCUUCCUAUCCAUUCUUGUUCUUCUUGUUCUGUUUAGAGAAAUGCUUUUCAGAAAACACUACAAAAGGAGUGUCUCUCUCUCUCUUUCUCUCUCUCUCUCUCUCUCUCACACACACACACACACACACACACACACACACACACAAAGUUCACACAAUUUAAGUCCAUAUCCAAAGACAUGUGACCUCCACAAAAAGAUACACAGCCCCAUAUACAAUGUUAAACUUCUUCCAAAACCUGGAAUUUCUGCCCAAGGUUAGGGUCAGUCUUUGAGAAAACAGUAUUUCUUAGUGAUCCAGAACCAUGUGUAAAAUUAAGUUGAAAAAGGGGACAAAGCAGUUUCUGAAUCAGAAUAUGGCAGAAAUACUAAAAGGGGUACAUCAGGACACAGGUAAUAUGCUCUUUCUCAGGAAUAAGACUCAGUCAGCAGCAGGGUGGACCUGAUAAGGGAAGCCAGAAUAUGGGAGCCAGACCAGCUGUGGGAAGAAAACACAAUAUAAGAAUUUCCCAGCUAUAUGCAGUACUCAGAGACAUAAUCAUAAGACAGGCCCAGUGUCCAGCCACAGGUGAAUGAGCCAGCAUGAGGGCGGAGCAUUGCACCAUGGGAGACUGGCAGCCUGGGCAGCAAGGGGAGCACACUCAGCUACGGCAUCUGAGGCCCAGGGUCAAGACUCCCACACAUACACCAAGGAUGUAAGAAGAUCCUGGCAGAUCAUAUGGUGAUGGGGAACAUUAAGGGUACACAAAGAUAAGGAAACAAAUCAGUAACCUGUUAUUGCAAUGUGGACACAAGGAUAAGUAAUGAGAGGAACACAAUGAGUCAUCUACUAUGAGCAGUAGCUGACUUGGGGCUCGGCUAUUAACUGUGAACUCCAAAAAACUAAGUAGUUCCAGGCUUAACCCCCAUGGCUGAAGGGCAAUGAAGAGGGUACUAAAAUAAUGACUGCAUAAUUAAUAGUAUUGUCCACUGAAAAUGCCCAGAUCAUAAGAGUCACUAGGAGGGUCCCCCAUAUGCACAUUUUUAAUGUUUAUAUGCAAUAAAUAUUCCUUGAAAGCCUUCUCUGUAUCAGAUGCUAUGCUGGUGCUGUAUAUUCAAUCCUGAACAUGACACAAGCCCUACUUUGAGAGUCUAAUGACAGAGGGUGCUGGGACUCUUUCAUUCCUGUUGUAUCUCUAUUGUGACCUUCAUAACACCAGCUCCCAUUACUGUCUUAAGAGGUAGGACUUUUUAGACCUGAUUGUCCUUUAGGAAGGAGGGAAGGAAUCUCUAAACCAAACCCUAAUCUCAGCUCCUUCUCUUGAGUAAGAGCUCUGAUGGAGGGUAAGUGAGCGGCAACUAACCCCAAAGUGAAGGCAGCCAUUACCUAAUCUCAGUCAUCACCGUUUGGGGCAGCCUGAAGCCCUGUCAGGAUGAGGAAUGUCCUAACAGGUCUCCCAGAUGGAAAGCAGCACAGGCUGUCAAGGGCCAGUUAGUUAUAAACUGGUUACCACAUCAAGACAGAGUAAGCACACAAGACUGACCAGGACUGGGUCAAGAACACUGAGUAAGUCAUGUGCUCAUCAUCCUGGGAAAGAUGGCUUCACGGAGGAUGGCUGAGAAGGAAGAAGAGCUCAGAAAGAUCUGCUUCUUCAGAAAGGCAAAAAGCCAUGUGGAUUGUUCAAGUGAGGUCUUGACAGUUGGGCCUUUCUCCCUCUGUGGAACCUCUUUAGGCCUAAAGAUUCUAAACCAACUGCAGUGAGGCCCCUUAAGAAGGAGCCCUUCUCAGCAAAGACCUGCCUCCACUGUUGAUAUCAGAGUUGGGAAACUAUGAUCUCUGGGCAUACUAGUCACUUGUGUGAUGUGGCAGCUAAUCAGCUGGUCCUCCUUCAGGAGGAGACUGAGGGUUAGGGCUGAGAUACAUACUUCCCAUAUAUUCUGCUCUCACUUUGGCUGUUGAAAAUUUGGAGGACAGAGCUAAACACCUGAAAUAAAUUGUAUAGCAGGAAUCCCAGAGGAGGAGACAUUUGGGGCCAGGAUGGGGAUGGGAAGAAACAUAUAACAUCCUCCCUGACCCCUUCAGAUGUUCACAGAAGCAGAAGUUCAAAAUACUCUCUUAAUCCACUGUGCACACAUUCAUGUAGUGUAACUUAAAAGCUAAUAGAUUUGCUUUCCUUGGUUCCUUAUUCUAAGUUUGGAAAAGCAAAUAUCAAAAAUGAGAUUUCUAAUGAUUUUUUUUACUAAAAUGUAAUUUUAUCUUCUUGUCAGCUUUUUUUUUUUUUACUUGACUACUACUUUUGAAAUAAUCCGGACAUUGAUUUACAUUUGAUCAUCAUCUCCAGUUUUAAGUUUCCCUCAUGUUACUGUUUGCCAUCAGCCAGGUCCCUUUCAACAACAUACUUGUAGUCACAGAGGAGUUUAUUGGCCAGUAAAAAAAUACUCUUCGAAAGUACAUUCAAACCACCUCCAAUCCAUAUUAUGUUUCAGAUUUCCUAAACUUGGGGGUGAAAUUUUUUCUGAAGGUCAAAAGUUAUCAUAAAAACUGAAGCCAUGUUAAGAUUACAAAGCUGGUUGGUUCCUGUGCUCUAGGACUUGCCAGAGAGAUUCAUGAUCCGAUCCAGUUUGAAAUCUGAAGUGAAGGAAUGCCACACCCAAAUGAGCUUUCUUCUCUCUGUUGUCCCCAUACAGAAAGAGGUCAAUUUCUCUGCAAUUCUUAGCACUUCAAUCUAUGAAAUCAUGGGGUUUAUUUCCAGGGUACUAAUAAAACCAGUACUUUAAGGGAAGGCUGUUUCCAACAAGACUAUAUGAAAACUUUCUACAAAUAGGCCAAUGUCUUCAUUGUUCAGAGCACUACUGAUUCAUUUCUGUCUCAGGGCCUUUGCUGUCUAUUCCCAUGAUAUGGGAUGCCUCUGCCCUGGUCUCCUGCUGAGACCAAACUCUAUUUCAACCUUCAAGGCCUAGCUUAAGAUGCACCUUCUCCCAAAAAAAUUCUCUUGGUCUUUAUCAACCUGCCCUCCCCCUCGUCUCCACCCCUAACCUGCUCAAAUAUAUUUCUUGUGGCAGGUGAUAUCCCAUGACAUAGCAUUCAGUACAGAAAAGGGCUAGAAGUACAGUAAGACAGCUUGACUGAGGAGGUCUCAGACUCCUGACAAUGGAAGUAUGGCCAGGUGCAGCUUAGUUCAUGUAGUUUGGGGAAAAACAGACCUGCCCAGGACUGAAUCCUCACUCUGACACUUACUAGCUAUGUAGCCUCAGGCAGAUUACUUUCCUUCCCUGGGCUGCAGUGUCCCUUUCAAAAAUGCUAUGGGGUUGCUUCCAGGCUAAAACUGGUUUAGGUGACGACCAAUUUCCUAAACAUUGGAGCUACAAAGAUGAGUAAGGUAAAGCCCUGAUCUUGAAAAAGAGCUCAGAGUCUACAGACAAGCUAUUUGCAAUAGUUUCAGGCUCUUUGAGGGAAACAGUUAAGAGGUGUCAUGGGAAUAGUAAACUGAAAGCAGCAGGGAGUAGGGGAGAAACUGUGGAGUCUGAAGUGAUACCAGAAUUGCAGAUCUGUGCUGAAAGCUGGAAAAGAGUGACAGUAGUAGGAAUGGAAGUGGAAGGAAGGAAUGGAGGAAAGGAAGAUGAGAGACAUUCCAAGUAGAGCAAAAUUACAGGCCUUGGCGCAUUUCAGACUUAAGAGGAUAGAGGAGAUUGGUGACGAAUCUUGACCAAAUUUCUAGCUAAGGAGACAGACACAGGCACCAAUAGAAAUGGAGUUAACUGGUUUGGGUAGUGGAAGAGAUCAACCUCUGCAGACAACAGAUAUGUCUCACAAACAACUGAUGCCAAUCUUGAAGUCCAACAGCUUCUUUUUUCACAAGCCUACUGAGUCCUCUUCCUCACCCCACCUCCAUCCCACUUGAUUUUACUGAGAAAGUUCACUGGUACGUUGAACAACUAGCUUUGCGAGACCUAGGCAAACAGCAUGAACAACUAAUAAGAAGUACACUCCCCAUGCAUCUUUUUUAUUGGCUCUACUUGACUUUUAAAGUUAAAAUGACAUUAGCCUAGGAUAGCCCAGGUGUCUCUUGACCAUUCCUCCAAUAUUACAAAUAUCCAACUAUCCUCUGAAGCUGCCCGUGUAGAGCAAGGCAGUCUGGUCCGUUACAAUUGGAGGAUGGUACUUCCACAUUCUGAACCAGUAACUGUCACCCAGGACCAGCCAGAACCUGCUUUCUGUGGAACCCCCAACCUCCUCCUUUCCACCUCAGACACUGAGCAUGCUCACUGCAGAUUAAGAAGAGAAUACUGGCCUUUCCGUCUUUGGUCACAAAAGGAGAGCUUAAACAGAGAUGCUGAAAAGGCAAGUAUAGCAGAGAAUGUGAAGAAAUCCCCGCCAUGGUACCCACAGCAGAUGUUUUCGAAGUUUGGGGAUGGUGAAGGACCCAGGGGACGGUGCCAAGGAGCAGCACGAGGUGCCGUGUGAUAAAUGGAGCUCUCUUUCCCAUUACAGGAACAUAGCAAGUUUCAAGAGCAAAUCAGAAACCUAGAAUGAUUAAUUGUGUAGUCUACAACGAGUCCUGUUGUGUUUGUCUAUGAAUCCCUUUGCUCUGAAGAUCAGACACACCAGGUGCAGAGAAACACCUGGCUAUGAUGAACCCUGUGAGUUUCUUAGUAACCCACUCCAAAAAAAAGGGGAACAGUGGUUUUGUUUACAGGUGAACAGUAGGAAGGGGAUCAAAGCUGGUGAGAAAACUGAAAUGGUGGAGUAAGAACAAAAGCAUCCCUUUAACAUCAAGCCAAGCACUGUCAUAUCUCUGGCUUAGCUUCCUCUUUCUCUAUACCUGCUUGGGCAUCAAUGAGGAACAAAGUAUUUUAAGGAAGUCAUAACUUCGUUCUUACUUAUUCCCACCCACCGAUUCCGCGGUCACCUCGCAGUCACCUUUGCAUGUGACCUAAGGCAGUUUCAGCUAAGCGUUAGCAGUGAAGAGCAUAGCCAUUGAGCACACCGGUUUCUGGGCCCAAACCCCACAUUUUACUACCCAUGUGACACGGCACAAAUUAUCGAAAGUCUCUGUGCUUCACCAUCUGCCCAAAUAUGAUAUAACGUUAAUAAUACCCACCUAGGAAUUCUUAUCUAAGUAAAGUACACAUGAAUGUAAGAUGCCUGAAACAAUCAGUAAAUAGUAGCUAUUGUUGUUAAACAAGAUGGCCAGGGAGAUUACUGUUAUUUUUCUUUAAAGUGUAACCAGCACGUUAACAAUACUGUUUGCAUACUAAAUGAGUGUGUCAAUUACACAUAGUUAUUGACCCUUCCUUAAAGCUGAUGAGGUACACUAAUAUUUAGUUAGCUAAUUUGGUUGAACUGUAGAGGCAGCAUGGCUUGGUGGAAAGAUCUAGAUUCAAAUGCCAGCUCUAUUGUUCACUAAUUGGAAGCCUUAAAAAAAAAAAGAAAGGUGUUUCAUCUCUCGAUGCCUCAUCUGUUCUUUAAAAAGUGAGAAGAAAAAUACUUCAUUUUCAGGGUGGUAGUAAGAACUAAAUGAGAGAAUGCAAAUGCCUAGUGCAUAAUAGGUGUCUGUAAUAAAGGAUCGUUGACAAGACAGCACACAUUUACCUUACAGCAAUAAAAGUGCUCUCCAUUUUUAAUACCCUUUAAUUGUUUUCAUGAAUUCAUAGCAGCAUUCCUCCAAAUUAGUCUGAAUUUGUUAUGUUUUGUCAUGUGGUUUAAUUCCAAGUACAGCUAAAUGACAAGUGACCACGUCAGAAUGGUGCUGGGGGAGGGUAUCAUCUAAAACAGAUUAAUGUGGAUGCAGCUCUUUUAAAAAUAUCUAGGGGGGAAAACUCUAAAAUGUCUCUUGAACACACCUCAAGCUGUUAGAGAGAGGAAGCUUUUACGUUUAUCUUUUCUAAGGGUAAACAAUUGGGUUUAGAUUAAUUGAAAACAAGGAGGGGAAAAAAAUGCACAGAUCUAUGUAAAACAGAGAGUGUCUAUGACAAGUGUUUCCAAAUACGUGGUUUCCAAAUAUGUAAUUGGUACAUUACAUAUCUCUGGCUUCUCUGAUUUCUAAAAAGCCAUGAAAGUUAAAUUAGGUUGAUUUAUUUCCGAAAGUGGUCAUUUGGAUUAUGUACCAAUAAUGGGACAUCAGUAUCCCUGAAAGCAAAAGAUUUAAAAUACAUAAAGAUAUUUUUAUGGCCCGCCGUGCCUAUUUCUAAAAUACUCUAAAUGUGAUACUGCCUUAGGCUGGCUUCCUUGGAAGGAGACACUGGGACAACAAUUCAUGUGCACGUGUGUGUUCCUAAGGAAGGGCUCCCCGUGGGCACCUAUUGGGAUGAGCUCUGGGUGUUGUAUGGAAACCAAUUUGACAAUAAAUUUCACAUUAAAAAAAAAGGAAGGGCUCCCCAAAAAAGAACUGGUAAGGAAGAGGGGAAAGCAGGACAGAGAAGGGAAAGAAAGCAAGCAAGGCUUUUUCCAUGGAGGACGGCUUUGGACCUGGUUCUGCAGGAGAACUCCGGAGGAUUCGUUAUGCUUAGAGUGGUCCCAGCUGGAAAAAAGCUGGAGCCUUUCUACAGCUGUGCCUGCUGGUCACUGAGCAGGGUCACUGGGAGAUGAGACAUGCUUUCCCAGACACUUCCUGCCCUCUGGAGCAACUGCCCAGGGAGAGUCACAGGUGCUGGCCCUUGGAGGUAAAAGCACAAGGACACUGGGGAAAGGCACAUCGCAACAGGAAAAAGUAACUUUUCAUGGAGCAGGGAGAGGAUGAAAAAAAUAAAGUCACAGCUUUCCUUUCAA
Molecule: long non-coding RNA, 7108 nt
Organism: Leopardus geoffroyi (Geoffroy's cat)
Lineage: Eukaryota; Metazoa; Chordata; Mammalia; Carnivora; Felidae
Exons: 2
Source: RefSeq, a predicted model, not a curated record